RNAcentral lists this long non-coding RNA (234 nucleotides) under Daucus carota (carrot). RNAcentral's name for it is "long non-coding RNA (DCAR_LNC007619)". Lineage: Eukaryota; Viridiplantae; Streptophyta; Magnoliopsida; Apiales; Apiaceae. The record is from RNAcentral.
GAUUACAAGUAAAGAGAAGGGGGUAUUUAUAACUAAAGAAUUAGGGUUUAGGGGUAGGGUGGCUCAAUCUUGACCAUCCAUGUGCCUUGUGUGUUGGGAAGAUUGUGGCCCUCCAUGUGUCCCUUAGUUGCCAACCCUUUUUUUUUCUUCUUUUCUUUUCCCUUUUCUUCUUUUUCUUGCAUUUUCUCUUCUUUCUUUAUUUAUCUACAAUUUCCUGAAAUAAAAUAAAUAAGC